Molecule: RNA transcript, 5820 nt
Organism: Synchiropus splendidus (mandarinfish)
Lineage: Eukaryota; Metazoa; Chordata; Actinopteri; Syngnathiformes; Callionymidae
Gene: mical2a
Gene name: microtubule associated monooxygenase, calponin and LIM domain containing 2a
Exons: 24
Source: RefSeq, a predicted model, not a curated record
GUCCACUGGGUGUCUCUCGCUACCAUUACAAAUGUGUUCGAGCUGCGCGCUUCGCCCAAUUUCCUGUUCGUCAUGAAGGUUCCGAAGUCUCACCAGAAACGCGUCUGUGACUUGGUGAACAAGCAAGCACGUGGUGGUCCUGGAAUACGAGCUCCUCCGGUUCCUCCAGCGGUGUCGGGAGCUGGGCUGAGAUGAGUCGGGGUGUGACGCCGCCCCCAAAAACUGUGGACCGCAGCUGAAAGUCACCGCUGGCUGAAGCUCAUUCAGGCUGUCAGACUGGCGGAGGACGGAGACACAUCACAGGAGUCAGCGACGGCACCGGAGGAAAGGGGUUUUAGUUCUCUCUCACAUGAGACUGGGCAUGAUAUCACCAGUGGAGCUGAGGCCGUAGCCACAUCUGGCUGCUCACUGGAGGAAGCAGGACCUCAUCUACUUCAGUGAAGAACGAUGGGGGUGACAGAAGAAGAGAGGGACAGUGUGGCAAAGCUGUUUGAAAACUUUGUCCAGGCUUCGACCUGUAAAGGAACUCUGCAAGCGUUUAACUUGCUGUGCACACAGCUGGAUCUUGACCCUGCAGAGCACAGCAGCUUCUACAGCAGCCUAAAAGCAAAGGUCACCUGCUGGAAGGCCAAAGCUCUGUGGACUAAAUUGGACAAGCGGAUGUCUCAUAAGGAAUACAAGAAAGGUCAAGCCUGUAUGGACAACAAGUGCCUUAUCAUCGGCGGUGGACCCUGUGGUCUGCGUACGGCUAUUGAGCUGGCCUUGAUGGGUGCCAAAGUAGUUGUGAUUGAGAAAAGAGACUCAUUCUCCAGGAACAAUGUGCUGCACCUUUGGCCCUUCACUAUCCAUGACCUGAGGAGUCUCGGAGCCAAAAAGUUCUAUGGCAAAUUCUGUGCGGGAGCCAUUGAUCACAUCAGUAUUCAGCAGCUGCAGUUAAUGCUACUGAAGAUCGCCCUCAUCGUUGCAGUCGAAUUCCACAUCAACGUGGAGUUUGUAAAGCUCAGAGAACCUGCCGAAGAUCAAGAAAAUGAAGGACUUGGGUGGAGAGCUGCAAUCCGACCUGCUGAUCACCCUGUGGCCAACUAUGAGUUUGACGUUGUGGUCGGGGCUGAUGGGCGCAGGAAUACCCUGGAAGGUUUCAAAAGGAAGGAGUUUCGGGGUAAACUGGCCAUUGCCAUCACUGCCAACUUCAUCAACAGGAACACCACAGCAGAGGCCAAAGUAGAGGAGAUCAGCGGGGUGGCUUUUAUCUUCAACCAGAAGUUCUUUCUUGACCUCAAAGAAGAAACAGGUAUCGACUUGGAGAAUAUUGUUUACUACAAAGACAACACGCAUUACUUUGUGAUGACUGCAAAGAAGCAAAGUUUGUUAGAUAAAGGCGUUGUUAUCAACGAUUAUGUCGAUACACAGAUGCUGUUGAGCAGUGAAAACGUCAACCAGGAAGCUCUGCUGUGCUACGCCCGAGAGGCUGCUGACUUUGGCACCAACUACCAACUUCCCACUCUGGAUUUUGCCUUGAACCACUGUGGGCAGCCAGAUGUGGCAAUGUUUGACUUUACAAGCAUGCACGCUUCAGAGAAUGCUGCUCUCGUGCGGGAGAGAUGUGGACACCAACUGCUGGUUGCUCUGGUUGGCGACAGCCUUUUGGAGCCCUUUUGGCCAAUGGGGACAGGAUGUGCCCGAGGUUUCAUGGCUGCCUUCGAUACGGCGUGGAUGGUGAAGAGUUGGGCCCAGGGUCAGACGGUUCUGGAGGUGCUGGCUGAAAGGGAAAGCAUCUACAGAUUGCUACCUCAGACGACCCCGGAAAACAUCGUCAAAAACUUUGACCAGUACACAAUAGAUCCUUCAACACGUUACCCAAACCUCAAGUCAGCGUGGGUGAGGCCACAUCAGGUUCGUCAUUUAUACAUAAGCGGUGAACUGAAUUCAUGCUCGCUGGAGCGUGCUGCUUCCAUUCGACGCCCUGUGAACCUCUCCAGACGAGAGUCUGAGGUGCGGCCAACAAGGCUUCUCACCUGGUGCCAGAGACAGUUGGAAGGCUACAAGAACGUCACAGUCUCAGACCUGACCCUGUCUUGGAAGAGUGGGCUCGCCCUGUGUGCCCUCAUCCACAGGUUUAAACCUCAACUCAUAGAUUUUGAUUCACUGAGUGAGGAUGACACUGCUGCAAACCUGCAGUUGGCUUUUGACGUCAGUGAACGCGAGUUUGGGAUCCGACCUUUGGCCUCUGUGACGGAGCUAUGUGACGGACUUGAGCUGGACAAGGCGAAGAUGAUCAGCUACCUCUCCAAAUUUUAUGAGCUCUUCCGCGGCACGCCUCUGCCUGUGACAGCAGGAUCCCGAAGGGGGGAUGAAAACAAUGAAGAUUACCCAUCCAAGGAAGUCAGAGGCAAUAAUAACGUGCUGAAUCUUGCUCUGCCCAGGAAGCGAGUGCCUAAGGAAAAGUCAGAAAGUGCAGAUCUCAUUUACAAAAGACGACGGAAGUUCAACAGCUGUUUGGAAGAGGCCACCAACUUGUCCAGCAACAGUUCUGCUGUGCAAGAACCCAGAGAGAACAAAGUGCGCUCCAUUUCAAGUCAGCUUCUGGCCAAGUUUGAGUGCACGCCGAGCCAAACACUACGAAAACAGUCAGAUGAUGAGACUCCUUUACCGCUUCAUACCCUGACUGAGAGUCGGCACAAAUCCCCCCCUCCUCUCCCACCCAGAGCCUCUCCUGAGAUGCAGUUUGAAAUCAGUAUCAGAGCUGCAGCAGAACACUUAGUUCGAGUGCCACCUAGGACCUUACCAAAGCCCGAACUCCAGCCUCAGUUGCUGCAUUCAAUUUCUGUAGUGAGGCUCAGACAUGUAGAGCCGGCCCCGACCCAACCUGAGAAAUCAGCCCCCGAUCCCCCUCCUCCCCCCCUCCACUCGGCCGUCCAGGUCAUGUCAAGAAUCCUUCAGCGCCUCAGGGAGGUGGACGAGCACAUCUCUGAGAAAAAGGCUCAGGCGCAGCAGACCCGAGAGUUUCACUCUAAGAGUAUCAGAGAAAAAGCUGUUCAUCUCAGCGGCAUGUUCUCAGGAGACAACUGUGCUGUUAUCAAGGGAAACUCAGUGCGGAGGUCGCUGCCUCAGUCCGUCGACAAGUGCCACUUGUGCAAGAGACGAGUUUUCAUGGUGGAGAGGAUUAGUGCUGAUGGACUCUUCUUCCACAGAGAGUGUUUCAAGUGCACGGCCUGCAGGUCCGCCAUCCGCCAGGGGUCUCACUCCUACGACUCUGAGCAGGGAAAGCUUUACUGCAAACUUCACUUUGAUCAACGGAACAGUGUGACAAACUCACCCAGGAGUUUCUCACUGCGCAGGAAGCACCUCAGGGCUGCAGUAGAUGGUUGUGAGGACUCUGAGGAGCAGACCAGAGCACUGAACCUGCAGAGUGAAGCUGCAGCAGGUACCUUCAGCUCCUUCAUCUGGAAACAGCUGAGCUGGCCCCUGAGGGUGACGCGCGUGGUGUGUAGCGCCCCCCAGUACGUGUCUCUCCAGGUGCAGAGCGCAGCACGAGCCCUGGUGGCUCACGUCAGGCAGAACUCCCAGGACUACGUUUUCCUUUACGAGCUGAUGAGCUUGAGUCUGCCGCUGCUGUACGUGCUGAGAGAGGUUCUGCUGCAGAUGCUGGCCGAGGCUGUGCCUGAGGCGCGGAGCCCCUUCCAGCCCCUGCUCAUCUGGGUGCAGGAGCAAAUGGGCCAAAGGCUCAUCUAAUAUUCAUCCAGAAUUAAGGUCCAAAGAGUCAAGAGUCCGACUGUCCUCGCACACGCACCUUCUGAUGUUUACACGUGUUUGGAUGACGAUGCUGGGGAGGUUCAGCAGUAAAUAAACGUCGGGUCAGGGUCAGAGUUGUAAAUGGCCAAAACCAAAAGUGCCUUAAUCUCACUGCCAUUCUAUGCAGCGGGACGGUCAUUCACGGCUGAAUUCCUAUUUUAGGUUCUGAAGAUGGAUUUAAGAGUUUUAUACACUUGAUUUAAGAGCUGACUCAAGCCAAGCACAGGGAGACUUGCACAGGGAUUCUCUAGUUUACUUGGCAGUACAUUAUUCUGUUGGCAAUAGACGAUAAACUGGGUUACAAUAAGGAAGUGACCUUUACAUUAUGACCUUCGAGUCACUUCUGCACCACCAAAACUGUGGGUUGUCACGGUGGGUUUCUGGUCUACUUUCAAAAAUAGCCCAAGAUGCAACAGCAAGGGGUCAUGGGAAGGAAACGCUGAUGUGGUCAGAUCCAACAGACCAGUCGAUUUUAGUUGAGAAGCGAGAAGAAAUCGCGACGGUUCAUCAUGAGACAGUGUUACCUCAGACUCGUGAUCCAAGAUAGAUGUGAUUCACCAGAUGAUGACACACUUCCACUUCACUGCAGUUCCAACACACUCAUGCCAGCAGACACACAAACAUAUGAAUCACAAAGCAGCCAGUUGCAACAGUGUGUUUGUUUCAGUCUGUACACAUCCCCUUCAGGUCACAGUCACUGUUACAGACCACCAUCAAUGACAACUGACUGAGUUGAAGGAGCAUAAAUAAUUCACCUCCCUGUCAAAGACAUGUUCCAUUCUACAUCAUGGAGGUGAUUGUGAUAUAAUUUUAACAUGAAACACAUGUCAAGUAUGAUGAAUUCAUCUUCAUUUUGUAGUUUUAAUGUGAUCACUCGACUCCAACUCUUGCUGUGUUCUGGUUUUCACUUGUGUGUUUUCAUCGUUUCCAUAUAGUUUCACGUGACGCCGCCGACUGUUGGAGUAGUUCACCUUUGCUGCCACCUACUGGCGCUUUUGUAACAUUACAUGAUGACCCUGGCAUCCUGUAGGUCAACCCAUUUUGAUCACCUUGACUCAGUAAAUAUUUCCAUAUUUACUGAAAGUUCUUGAGUGUUGUAUGUCUGGCUUAAGAAAAAUGUCUCCUGCUGGACUGUGGCACGACGUUCUAUCGAUGCUCACCAGGCACUUUAGACUUUUAGUGUUCGACAUUGUUUGUGUUAUGACAACUACCUGAUAUUAAACUGAAUACCAAAGAUGUUUUUAUCGAAAUGGAAUGUUCUGAACAUGAGCGACAGGUGUGUCUGGAAAACGCUGGUGAAUGUCGGUAUGUGUUUUAUUUAUUGAGAAUGUCUCAGAUGACUCUGAUGUUUCUUCCCAUCAGCUGCGCUCUUUUACGACGAGUGCGAGCCGAGAGAUUGUCACGAUCCAGAACACUGGUGAAUGGACUGUGUUUACGGGAAGAGCUCAUAGACCAUCAGCAACUUCUUGAGACAAAAGGAUCAUGAGGAAAUGUGAGGCUUCUGACCCGACGACUUCAUCACUGUGGAGUGAAGUUGCCCGUGAUCCUGCUACUGAGAUUAUUGUAUUGUCCUCUGGAGACCCUUUUUCUGUGUUCAGACCAGCGAGGGCAACAGUGUCUUAAAUGUAAAGCAUCACACUGUGAACUGAGUGUGUGACUCUUGACCUGUCGUGCCGUGUUGGUUUGCACAAAUAGUCAAAACUCAUGACAUGGCAACCUGGACAAGGUGUACAUUUUGUCUUUGAAAGCUCACAGCAAAUGCAAAUACAACAUUUUAAGUCACAACACAUCUGGAAAAGCCUCAACAAACUCUCUUGUCAUGUAGCGGCUUAACGUUGCAUCUGAAUUUGUUGUGGCUUUUGCAGGUGUGUUGCGAGUUAAUGCUGUGUUUCGGUGUUUGGAUUUGUUGCAGCGUUUUGCGUUUGAGCGCUCCAGGCCACCGUGUGUUACAUCACUCCAUCGCCAUUCAAUUUUCAACAUCAUUGACAUUUUCUGUCUCCUUCCCGUGCGUUUAAUAAAAAAAUAAGA